UACGGGGGGGGCAAGCGUUGUCCGGAAUCACUGGGCGUAAAGGGCGCGUAGGCGGCUUGAUAAGGUUGCGGUGAAAGCCCGGGGCUCAACCCCGGGUCGGCCGUGGCAACUGUCGAGCUGGAGCACUGUAGAGGCAGGUGGAAUUCCGGGUGUAGCGGUGGAAUGCGUAGAGAUCCGGAAGAACACCGGUGGCGAAGGCGGCCUGCUGGGCAGUGGCUGACGCUGAGGCGCGACAGCGUGGGGAGCAAACAGG
Molecule: ribosomal RNA, 253 nt
Filed under: uncultured bacterium
Lineage: Bacteria
Description: partial 16S ribosomal RNA
Rfam family: Bacterial small subunit ribosomal RNA
Source: RNAcentral